UGAGCAAUCUGCCCUUCUCAUCGGAAUAGGCGUUGGAAACGACGUCUAAUGCCGAAUACGACCUCCUUUCGCAUGAUCGGAGGUGGAAAGCUCCGGCGGAGAAGGAUGAGCUCGCGGCCUAUCAGCUAGUUGGUGUGGGUAAUGGCCCACCAAGGCGACGACGGGUAGCCGGCCUGAGAGGGUGACCGGCCACACUGGGACUGAGACACGGCCCAGACCUCCGUACGGGAGCAG
RNAcentral lists this ribosomal RNA (234 nucleotides) under uncultured bacterium. RNAcentral describes it as "partial 16S ribosomal RNA". It matches the Rfam family "Bacterial small subunit ribosomal RNA", at positions 118 to 347 of the family's 1533-position model. The record is from RNAcentral.